Molecule: ribosomal RNA, 253 nt
Filed under: uncultured bacterium
Lineage: Bacteria
Description: partial 16S ribosomal RNA
Rfam family: Bacterial small subunit ribosomal RNA
Source: RNAcentral
UACGGAGGGGGCUAGCGUUGUUCGGAAUUACUGGGCGUAAAGCGCACGUAGGCGGCUUUGUAAGUUAGAGGUGAAGGCCCGGAGCUCAACUCCGGAAUUGCCUUUAAGACUGCAUCGCUCGAAUCAUGGAGAGGUGAGUGGAAUUCCGAGUGUAGAGGUGAAAUUCGUAGAUAUUCGGAAGAACACCAGUGGCGAAGGCGACUCACUGGACAUGUAUUGACGCUGAGGUGCGAAAGCGUGGGGAGCAAACAGG